Molecule: transfer RNA, 58 nt
Filed under: Mesocricetus auratus (golden hamster)
Lineage: Eukaryota; Metazoa; Chordata; Mammalia; Rodentia; Cricetidae
Rfam family: tRNA
About the family: Transfer RNA (tRNA) molecules are approximately 80 nucleotides in length. Their secondary structure includes four short double-helical elements and three loops (D, anti-codon, and T loops).
Source: Rfam by way of RNAcentral
UGGCUCAGAGGUUAAGAGCACUGGCUCCUCUUCCAGAGGUCCUGGGUUCAAUUCCCAG